RNAcentral lists this ribosomal RNA (864 nucleotides) under uncultured archaeon. RNAcentral's name for it is "bacterial SSU rRNA". It matches the Rfam family "Archaeal small subunit ribosomal RNA", at positions 1 to 872 of the family's 1478-position model. The record is from RNAcentral.
UUCCGGUUGAUCCCGCCGGACCUGACUGCUAUCGGAUUGAUACUAAGCCAUGCGAGUCAUUGUAGCAAUACAAGGCAGACGGCUCAGUAACGCGUAGUCAAUCUACCCUAUGGACGGGAGUAACCUCGGGAAACUGAGAAUAAUGCCCGAUAGAACAUUAUACCUGGAACGGUUUAUGUUUCAAAUGAUUUAUCGCCGUAGGAUGGGACUGCGGCCUAUCAGUUUGUUGGUGAGGUAAUGGCCCACCAAGACUAUUACAGGUACGGGCUCUGAGAGGAGUAGCCCGGAGAUGGGUACUGAGACACGGACCCAGGCCCUAUGGGGCGCAGCAGGCGAGAAAACUUUGCAAUGUGCGAAAGCACGACAAGGUUAAUCCGAGUGGUUUCUGCUAAAGAAACCUUUUGCUAGUCCUAGAAACACUAGUGAAUAAGGGGUGGGCAAGUUCUGGUGUCAGCCGCCGCGGUAAAACCAGCACCUCAAGUGGUCAGGAUGAUUAUUGGGCCUAAAGCAUCCGUAGCUCGUUUUGUAAGUUUUCGGUUAAAUCCAUACGCUUAACGUAUGGGCUGCCGGGAAUACUGCAUAACUAGGAAGUGGGAGAGGUAGACGGUACUCGGUAGGGAGGGGUAAAAUCCUUUGAUCUAUUGAUGACCACCUGUGGCGAAGGCGGUCUACCAGAACACGUUCGACGGUGAGGGAUGAAAGCUGGGGGAGCAAACCGGAUUAGAUACCCGGGUAGUCCCAGCUGUAAACUAUGCAAACUCAGUGAUGCAUUGGCUUGUGGCCAAUGCAGUGCUGCAGGGAAGCCGUUAAGUUUGCCGCCUGGGAAGUACGUACGCAAGUAUGAAACUUAAAGGAAUUGGCGGG